RNAcentral lists this small RNA (76 nucleotides) under Xanthomonas phaseoli pv. manihotis. Its description in RNAcentral is "sX9 sRNA". It matches the Rfam family "Xanthomonas sRNA sX9". The record is from RNAcentral. Lineage: Bacteria; Pseudomonadati; Pseudomonadota; Gammaproteobacteria; Lysobacterales; Lysobacteraceae. RNAcentral also lists the same sequence under 3 other names.
AUGUACCACUCGUACACUGCGGCUCCUGCGCGCCGUCCGCGCCCACCUGACGGCUGCUCGCUACGUUUUGUUAGCA